GGAUGUGUAGCUCAGUGGUUAGAGCAUCAGUCUCCAAAACUGAGGGUCGGGGGUUCGAAUCCUCCCACUCCCGC
RNAcentral lists this transfer RNA (74 nucleotides) under subsurface metagenome. Its description in RNAcentral is "tRNA-Trp". It matches the Rfam family "tRNA". Rfam says of the family: Transfer RNA (tRNA) molecules are approximately 80 nucleotides in length. The record is from RNAcentral.